Molecule: ribosomal RNA, 250 nt
Filed under: uncultured bacterium
Lineage: Bacteria
Description: partial 16S ribosomal RNA
Rfam family: Bacterial small subunit ribosomal RNA
Source: RNAcentral
AUUGAACGCUGGCGGCAGGCUUAACACAUGCAAGUCGAACGGUAACAUAAAGAAGCUUGCUUCUUUGAUGACGAGUGGCGGACGGGUGAGUAAUGCUUGGGAAUCUAGCUUAUGGAGGGGGAUAACUACGGGAAACUGUAGCUAAUACCGCGUAAUAUCGAAAGAUUAAAGUGUGGGACCUUCGGGCCACAUGCCAUAGGAUGAGCCCAAGUGGGAUUAGGUAGUUGGUGAGGUAAAGGCUCACCAAGCC